GACGAACGCUGGCGGCGUGCCUAAUACAUGCAAGUAGAACGCACAGUUUAUACCGUAGCUUGCUACACCAUAGACUGUGAGUUGCGAACGGGUGAGUAACGCGUAGGUAACCUGCCUGGUAGCGGGGGAUAACUAUUGGAAACGAUAGCUAAUACCGCAUAAUAUUAAUUAUUGCAUGAUAAUUAAUUGAAAGGUGCAAUUGCACCACUACCAGAUGGACCUGCGUUGUAUUAGCUAGUAGGUGAGGUAACGGCUCACCUAGGCGACGAUACAUAGCCGACAUGAGAGGGUGAUCGGCCACACUGGGACUGAGACACGGCCCAGACUCCUACGGGAGGCAGCAGUAGGGAAUCUUCGGCAAUAGACGAAAGUCUGACCGAGCAACGCCGAGUGAGUGAAGAAGGUUUUCGGAUCGUAAAGCUCUGUUGUAAGAGAAGAACGGGUGUGAGAGUGGAAAGUUCACACUGUGACGGUAUCUUACCAGAAAGGGACGGCUAACUACGUG
RNAcentral lists this ribosomal RNA (505 nucleotides) under uncultured bacterium. Its description in RNAcentral is "partial 16S ribosomal RNA". It matches the Rfam family "Bacterial small subunit ribosomal RNA", at positions 28 to 507 of the family's 1533-position model. The record is from RNAcentral.